This 406-nucleotide ribosomal RNA is filed under the name uncultured bacterium. RNAcentral's name for it is "partial 16S ribosomal RNA". It matches the Rfam family "Bacterial small subunit ribosomal RNA", at positions 30 to 526 of the family's 1533-position model. The record is from RNAcentral.
AUUGAACGCUGGCGGCAGGCCUAACACAUGCAAGUCGAGCGCGCGGCGGACGGGCGAGUAAUGUAUGGGGAUCUGCCUGACAUAGGGGGCUAACUACUGGAACCCGUGGCUAAUACUGCAUACUACCCGAUCAACCCUCAUGGGAUUAGCUAGUAGGUGGGGUAAAGGCUCACCUAGGCGACGAUCUCUAGCUGGUCUGAGAGGAUGAUCAGCCACACUGGGACUGAGACACGGCCCAGACUCCUACGGGAGGCAGCAGUGGGGAAUAUUGCACAAUGGGCGCAAGCCUGAUGCAGCCAUGCCGCGUGUAUGAAGAAGGCCUUAGGGUUGUAAAGUACUUUCAGCGGAGAGGCGUUACCCGCAGAAGAAGCACCGGCUAACUCCGUGCCAGCAGCCGCGGUAAUAC